RNAcentral lists this ribosomal RNA (253 nucleotides) under uncultured bacterium. RNAcentral's name for it is "partial 16S ribosomal RNA". It matches the Rfam family "Bacterial small subunit ribosomal RNA", at positions 524 to 776 of the family's 1533-position model. The record is from RNAcentral.
UACGUAGGGUGCGAGCGUUAAUCGGAAUUACUGGGCGUAAAGCGUGCGUAGGCGGUUCGCUGUGUCCGAUGUGAAAGCCCCGGGCUUAACCUGGGAAUGGCAUUGGAAACUGGCGGGCUUGAGUGCGGCAGAGGGGGGUGGAAUUCCGCGUGUAGCAGUGAAAUGCGUAGAGAUGCGGAGGAACACCGAUGGCGAAGGCAGGCCCCUGGGGCGGCACUGGCGCUCAGGCACGAAAGCGUGGGGAGCAAACAGG